RNAcentral lists this ribosomal RNA (82 nucleotides) under Sphingobacterium micropteri. RNAcentral describes it as "Sphingobacterium sp. DN00404 partial 16S ribosomal RNA". It matches the Rfam family "Bacterial small subunit ribosomal RNA", at positions 1 to 78 of the family's 1533-position model. The record is from RNAcentral. Lineage: Bacteria; Pseudomonadati; Bacteroidota; Sphingobacteriia; Sphingobacteriales; Sphingobacteriaceae.
UUUUACAAUGGAGAGUUUGAUCCUGGCUCAGGAUGAACGCUAGCGGCAGGCCUAAUACAUGCAAGUCGGACGGGAUUGCGGU